GUGAAUCAUCAAAUCUUUGAACGCAAAUUGCACUCUCCUCGGAGAGUAUGCCUGUUUGAGGGUCAGCCUAUAAAAAAUCGACAUCGUUGCUGUUUCGCGGUGGCGUUCGUCGGAAAUUGGGUCAUCUUAAAUCCUUUUGAUUUAAGCGACUUAAAAUUUUCUUUUUGUUUCAUUAACGUUUCUAAGGUCUAUUUUCUAUACGCGUAUGGUAUC
RNAcentral lists this unclassified non-coding RNA (213 nucleotides) under Glomus sp. RNAcentral describes it as "partial contains 5.8S ribosomal RNA and internal transcribed spacer 2". The stretch from base 1 to 65 matches the Rfam family "5.8S ribosomal RNA", at positions 84 to 154 of the family's 154-position model. Lineage: Eukaryota; Fungi; Glomeromycota; Glomeromycetes; Glomerales; Glomeraceae. The record is from RNAcentral.